CGGUGACUGGUUGUCACCUCGAACCCAAACUCAUUCUCAUAGAUUGCAGGCAAUUACAAUCGGGCUGAAGGACGGUGAUUGUUUAACUACGGCUACGGUGGAAUCCAAACUACAAUAUUAGGGGUUUUUCCCCGGUUUCGACGGAAGGCUCCGGUGUCUCUCCAUCUCCGACAUAUAUAUAUAUGUCGGGUUGGCGUUAAGAUUUGAGUUAGGGUUGAGGGCGUGAAACGAAUCCCUAUUGGCGCUAGACGUGAUCAUUAUGCAAUAGAGGAGAUAUUUACUAGUGCAAAUAUGACUAUGAUGGAAUUGGACAAGUAAUCACGAUAAU
This 328-nucleotide unclassified non-coding RNA is filed under the name Bombus terrestris (buff-tailed bumblebee). Its description in RNAcentral is "misc RNA ENSBTSG00005024917.1". The record is from RNAcentral. Lineage: Eukaryota; Metazoa; Arthropoda; Insecta; Hymenoptera; Apidae.